RNAcentral lists this ribosomal RNA (446 nucleotides) under uncultured bacterium. RNAcentral describes it as "bacterial SSU rRNA". It matches the Rfam family "Bacterial small subunit ribosomal RNA", at positions 330 to 793 of the family's 1533-position model. The record is from RNAcentral.
GCCAGACUCCUACGGGAGGCAGCAGUGGGGCCUCUUGCACAAUGGGGGCCCCCCUGAUGCCGCGCCGCCGCGUGCCGGCAGAAGUAUUUCGGUAUGUAAACUUCUCUCAGCAGGGCCGCCCAUGACGGUCCCUGCCUAAGAAGCCCCGGCUAACUACGUGCCAGCAGCCGCGGUAAUACGUAGGGGGCACGCGUUAUCCGGAUUCACUGGGUGUAAAGGGAGCGGAGACGGCGACGCAAGUCUGGAGUGAAAGCCCGGGGCCCAACCCCGGGACUGCUCUGGAAACUGCGUGGCUGGAGUGCAGGAGGGGCAGGCGGAAUUCCUGGUGUAGCGGUGAAAUGCGGAGAUAUCAGGAGGAACACCGGCGGCGAAGGAGGCUUACUGGACGGCAACUGACGUUGAGGCCCGAAAGCGUGGGGAUCGAACAGGAUUAGAUACCCUGGUAC